CUACGGGGUGCACCAGUGAGGAAUAUUGCACAAUGGGGGGAACCCUGAUGCAGCAACGCCGCGUGGAGGAUGACGCAUUUCGGUGUGUAAACUCCUUUUAUAUGUCAAGAAAAUGACGGUAGCAUAUGAAUAAGCACCGGCUAACUCCGUGCCAGCAGCCGCGGUAAUACGGAGGGUGCAAGCGUUACUCGGAAUCACUGGGCGUAAAGGACGCGUAGGCGGGUUGGAAAGUCAGGUGUGAAAUCCUACAGCUUAACUGUAGAACUGCACUUGAAACUUCUAAUCUAGGGUAUGGGAGGGGGAGAUGGAAUUAGUGGGGUAGGGGUAAAAUCCGUAGAUAUCACUAGGAAUACCUAAAGCGAAGGCGAUCUCCUGGAACAUUACUGACGCUAAGGCGUGAAAGCGUGGGGAGCAAACAGGAUUAGAUACCCUUGUAGUC
This 439-nucleotide ribosomal RNA is filed under the name uncultured bacterium. Its description in RNAcentral is "partial 16S ribosomal RNA". It matches the Rfam family "Bacterial small subunit ribosomal RNA", at positions 339 to 795 of the family's 1533-position model. The record is from RNAcentral.